CCGUUGGCAAACUUCCAUGACAAGUAGGUCAUGCUCUCAUAAGUUCUAUCUCCUGCUACCUCUUCGAUUGGUACAGCAGCAGCAAUUUCUUUCAGCUCUUCUUCUGUAAGUUUCACCUUCAGGGAGCCAAGGUUCUCGUCCAGGUUCUUGAUCUUAGUGGUCCCAGGAAUAGGCACAACAUCAUCCCCUUGUUGGAGAACCCAAGCCAAUGCUAGCUGAGAAGGAGAGCAUUGAUACUUCUUAGUAAGGUUUUCCAAUCGACUGUAUAUCCUUCUGUUUUUGUCCAAGUUCUCUGCUCGAAAUCUAGGAUGUCCAACCAAGCUGCUAUUUGCAGGCAAACUUUCCAUAAUUGCUUUACCAGCAAAAAAACCACGACCAAGAGGACUGUAUGGAACAAUUCCAAUACCAAGAUCCCUGCAAAGGGGAAUAAUCUCUUCCUCGAUAUCACGAGUCCAAAGAGACCACUCCAUUUGUACAGCUGUGAUGGGGUGAACAGCAUGUGCCCUCCUUAUUGUGUCUGGACUGGCUUCAGAUAGCCCAAUGUGCUUGAUUUUUCCUUCUUCCACCAGUUUUUUAAGUUCACUCAUAGUUUCCUCAAUAGGCACAGAAGUGUCAACUCGAUGCUGAUAAUACAGAUCAAUGUAAUCCACACCUAGGCGCUUCAAGCUAGCCUCACAACAUGAGCGUACAUACUCAGGGGUACCCUUAACUAUCAUAUGAGGAAAUUCCAUUUUAAAAACACCAAACUUAGUGGCUAACUGAAUUUUUUCUCUUGGUAACUGCUUCAAGGCCUUUCCCACCAAAAUUUCAUUAGUAUGGGGUCCGUAUAUAUCUGCCGUAUCAAAAAACGUGAUUCCUUUGUUGAAGGCAUCCCUCAAUAUAGAGAUUCCAUCUUCAUCUGAGACAGGAGUAUUAUAGACCCCAGUUAGGCCCAUACAUCCAAACCCCAGCUUUGAGACCUCAAGUCCUUGGCUCCCCAGUUUCACCCUUGGAAUUUGCAAGCUCAUCUCCGCUGCCAUCGUUUGGCUGGAAUAUUCUUG
Molecule: unclassified non-coding RNA, 1040 nt
Filed under: Hevea brasiliensis (rubber tree)
Lineage: Eukaryota; Viridiplantae; Streptophyta; Magnoliopsida; Malpighiales; Euphorbiaceae
Source: RNAcentral